Passer domesticus (house sparrow) is the source of this 804-nucleotide long non-coding RNA. RefSeq lists it as uncharacterized. The record is from RefSeq and is a predicted model, not a curated record. The transcript has 5 exons. Lineage: Eukaryota; Metazoa; Chordata; Aves; Passeriformes; Passeridae.
GGAAGGAAGGAAGGAAGGAAGGAAGGAAGGAAGGAAGGAAGGAAGGAAGGAAGGAAGGAAGGAAGGAAUGAGAUCAUUACAGAAACAUAUUUUGAAACUGCAGUAGUUCAGCGUCUAGUCUCUGUUUUCAUAAACCCAUGCAACUCCAUAGACUCUCAGCAUUAGUGUCUUGGCCCAUGCCAGGGCACUGCAAUUUAUCAUCCUCCCAGAGUCAAAGCCCUUCUCAGUACAGAAGAAUGGGAUGAAGUUUCAUAGCCAAGGAUCCUUGGGACACAAGUGUUCAGGUCAGGAGUGAGCAGAGGUGUCCCCUUCAGCUCCCAGAGGUGACGGUUUAGCCACACACUUACCUGUUCACACGAAUAUCCACUAUUAUAUUCCCAGCAAUCUGCUGGACAUCAAUGCCUUGCUGAUAAACUGGAAAUCCUCACCUUCUAUCCUCACCUCUCAAAUGACCCAUGAAAGAGUCUUGGAGAUCAAAGAAAUCCUCUUCCAUCCUUAUCCUUCGGACAGAAAAACUGAUGGGAUUUAGCACCCAUGUGGGAAUAUGAGCAUUGCACCUUAGGCAGACUAAAGUGGAACUGAUGAAUAAUCAGUGAUGCAACAGCUGUUAUCCAGAGAUAACAGAGGACUUCAGGCUGCAGAUGUGCAUGAGGUCAAGGGAGACAAUGUUGUGCAUGAAAAAGUCAUACAAUGGAGUUCUGUGUAUUUUCCUCAGAUUUCAAGAACAAAGAAGCAACGACCUUUUGUCUGCUGCUGUCAUUCCCUGCUUCACCAUUAAGGUAGUUUUCUUUUCUUUCUUUUUUU